UGCCAGCCGCUGCGGUAACACGGGGGGCGCAAGCGUUAUUCGGAAUUAUUGGGCGUAAAGGGCGCGCAGGCGGUCUUGUCCGUCAGGUGUGAAAUCUCGGGGCUCAACCCCGAAACUGCCAUUGAUACUGAUAAACUUGAGUUCAGUUGGAGUAGGCGGAAUGUGUAGUGUAGCGGUGAAAUGCUUAGAUAUUACACAGAACACCGAUAGCGAAGGCAGCUUACUAAACUGAUACUGACGCUGAGGCACGAAAGCGUGGGGAGCGAACAGGAUUAGAUA
RNAcentral lists this ribosomal RNA (279 nucleotides) under uncultured bacterium. RNAcentral's name for it is "partial 16S ribosomal RNA". It matches the Rfam family "Bacterial small subunit ribosomal RNA", at positions 506 to 784 of the family's 1533-position model. The record is from RNAcentral.